UACGUAGGGUGCAAGCGUUGUCCGGAAUUAUUGGGCGUAAAGAGCUCGUAGGCGGUUUGUUGCGUCGGCUGUGAAAUCCCGAGGCUCAACCUCGGGUCUGCAGUCGAUACGAGCAAACUAGAGUGUUGCAGGGGAGACUGGAAUUCCUGGUGUAGCGGUGAAAUGCGCAGAUAUCAGGAGGAACACCGGUGGCGAAGGCGGGGUCUCUGGGCAACAACUGACGCUGGAGGAGCGAAAGCCGUGGGGAGCGAACAGG
This 256-nucleotide ribosomal RNA is filed under the name uncultured bacterium. RNAcentral's name for it is "partial 16S ribosomal RNA". It matches the Rfam family "Bacterial small subunit ribosomal RNA", at positions 524 to 776 of the family's 1533-position model. The record is from RNAcentral.